UACGUAGGUGGCAAGCGUUGUCCGGAAUUAUUGGGCGUAAAGCGCGCGCAGGCGGCUAUGUAAGUCUGAUGUUAAAGCCCGGGGCUCAACCCCGGUUCGCAUUGGAAACUGUGUAGCUUGAGUGCAGAAGAGGAAAGCGGUAUUCCACGUGUAGCGGUGAAAUGCGUAGAGAUGUGGAGGAACACCAGUGGCGAAGGCGGCUUUCUGGUCUGUAACUGACGCUGAGGCGCGAAAGCGUGGGGAGCAAACAGG
RNAcentral lists this ribosomal RNA (252 nucleotides) under uncultured bacterium. RNAcentral describes it as "partial 16S ribosomal RNA". It matches the Rfam family "Bacterial small subunit ribosomal RNA", at positions 524 to 776 of the family's 1533-position model. The record is from RNAcentral.